Molecule: ribosomal RNA, 253 nt
Filed under: uncultured bacterium
Lineage: Bacteria
Description: partial 16S ribosomal RNA
Rfam family: Bacterial small subunit ribosomal RNA
Source: RNAcentral
UACAGAGGCCCCAAGCGUUGUUCGGAUUCACUGGGCGUAAAGGGUGCGUAGGUGGCCAGGUAAGUUUGGUGUGAAAGCUCGGAGCUUAACUCCGAAAAGUCAUUGAAUACUAUCUGGCUGGAGGGUCGGAGGGGAGACUGGAAUUCUCGGUGCAGCAGUGAAAUGCGUAGAUAUCGAGAGGAACACCAGUGGCGAAGGCGAGUCUCUGGACGACUCCUGACACUGAGGCACGAAAGCUAGGGGAGCAAACAGG